Molecule: long non-coding RNA, 17761 nt
Filed under: Salvia miltiorrhiza (redroot sage)
Lineage: Eukaryota; Viridiplantae; Streptophyta; Magnoliopsida; Lamiales; Lamiaceae
Description: long non-coding RNA (SMIL_LNC005157)
Source: RNAcentral
GGGAACUUUCUGACUCCGACAGCGGGGGAUCGGGGCCCCGAUCAAAGUGAUCAAAGGAUUUCAACUGGGCGAGAAUGGCGUCAAGUUUAGAAUCUGACGAUGCUUGCUUCGCCGCCGCUGCAGACUGGGCAGCGCGAAGUUCCUCCAGUGCCUUCUCUAUCUGCUCCAUGCGUUGUUGGUCUCUCGUCAUCGUCAUCUUUCGAUCCGGCAGGUCGGACCAAUUUGAUAGAGUAAAGGCGUAUGAAGAUAAGGAAAUAAGAAAGAAAAUAAAAGUACGAUAUAUAAACUCCUCCUGCGAGGCCCUCAGAGAAAAAUAUCUCUGCCCUACAGCUAUUGUUGUCCCUAAACAAUGAUCCCAAGAUAAUUAACCCUAAGUCGUAAAGAACUAUAUAUAGACCUAAUGACUUGAGGCCCAAUUAAAUACCUUGGAGCCCAUGAGUCUGACCUAAAAACUUAACCCUAAAUAAUUGAACUACUGCGAAAAAUAAAAGAUAACUAUGAACUAACAAAAACUAAUAUAAUAAAGAUAAUCCUAGAUCUGCAGACUGCAGCUGAUCUAACGCUAUCAUAUUUUGACAAAAUUUUCCUUGGUUGUCUACGCAGCUUCAAGUCUGCCGAGAUUAACAGCUGGCUUUGGUCUUUUUGCCUUGAUGGGUGUGUUCUUGGCAUCAAUAGGUCUAGUUUUCUUUCAUAGAUGUAGCAGGUAACUCUAGAUAUUGUACGUGCUUUGUGUUUUUUCUUUUUCUGGUGGGUUUUAUGUGCAUUAUGUAUUUUUGUGGAAUAGUUCAUUUAGCUUGUUUCAUAUUUAUACACGGAUCAUAUUUUAAGAUGUCACUACCUGCAACUUAUUUUAGUGAAUUGAAGUAUCCUAGUAGUAGUGGGCAUAUUUGUUCGCAAAUGUUUAUGUCCAUUUACUUUAUGGUGUUCAAAUAAUGUCUAAAAAUUCUUUGAUAUUUAGAUGAAAAAUGCAGCUAUUCCUACAAAUCAAAUGGGUUGUUUAUGUUCUUUGAUCUUAAUAUACAUUUUUAAUUUUGUGUUGAAUUUUUAUUUUCUGGUCAUUAUUAUCAUGAUGUUAUCAGUCAUUGCACUGCCAAAACUUACCUAAACAUUCCAAUCUUUCUAGCCGAUUUUAUGUAAAAAAAUGUUUGUAUAAUUAAUGGAUUGCUAGCAAGUCUAACUUUGUGUCUGGCUCUAAUUUGCAGCAAGGACCCUGACUUUAUCAGAAUGAAUGUUCUUGAUCUAGAAAAUAUGAAAGAUGAUGUAAGUAUGCUCGGGGAAUAGUUUAGUCAUUCAUUAUUUCAUAUUUGUGGCUCUUACCUUUUCAUGUAUGUGUAGUUUUUCCUGGUAUUGAAUUUAUUGAUUCCGUGUCGGAGCCAUUGCUAAAGAUCGAAAUUAAUAAUCCUGCUUUGAUUAAUGGAAAUUGAUCUCAGCUUUGUGCAACUUGCAAGUUGCAAGGUAUUAUUUUUCCACCUUGAAUUGUUGUUUGUCUCCAUCAAAGAGAAAAAAAAUUAUCCUGCCAACAUAUUUAUAUAUUUUUUGUACUCCUUCAUGAGAAGUUCAAGUUUAUUUUUUCAUAUUGUUAGGCCUCCUCGUGCAAAACAUUGUUCCACCUGUUAUCAUUUUGUCAACAUGCACUGCCGCGAUAAACAAUUCUAGGUGGCUAAAUCUUAGGCAAGUAUUAAGUUGUUUUUAGUUUUUCCAUCGAAAUUCGAAAUGAUACAACUUAUAUGUUUGACCUCUUCGUGCCAAACAUUGUUCCACCUAUGAUCGUUUUGUCGACGUGCUCUGUCGCGAUAAACAAUUGUGGGUGGCUAAAUCUUAGCCAGGUAUUAAGUUGGUUUUAGUUUUCCAUCAAAAGUCGGAAGGUUACAACUUAUAUAUCAGAUGCAGAUGCAUUGCUAUAGUAUAAAGACCGUUUACUUUGAUAUGACCAUAAAACAAAUAAGAGACAUGUACAUACUCCAAACAUUAUCGAAUCUUAUGUCUGAAAACAAUAUGUAAUUGAAGGUAUAGAAGAUAGAGGCAUAGAGCACAGUUAAACUGGAAGGUAGUCUCUUUGUCAUAGUCAUUCCAUUUGCGGCAGUGGUAAAACUAUUAUUUGCAAAGAAGCAAUAUGUUCAUUACUUUCUCUUUUAGUAUCAUCAGUCAUCAACAGAAAUACUUUAAGCCUUUAUGAGACUACGCACUUGUUGAUCGUAAGGCAUUAACAGUAUGUCUUCAUUCAUUGAGUAAAAUGUGAUGUAAAAACUCUAAAAAUGUAGUAGCCCUGAUCUAAUUUUGCAUAUAGUUGAUGAAAAUCUGUAUUAGGAAUCUGUUUGGAACUUAAAAACCAUUUUUGUGGACGGUGCCGAGUUGAAGGGCCGUCGCUUAAGUUCUGAUAUUUGUUUGCUUCAGAACUUUGGAAGCCAAUUUUCCCAGUUCUGCAUCACACGGUCCCAACAUGAUUUAGUACCUCAAGAAUCAUCUGUUUCUGGUGGGGCUGGGGCAUAUGUAUUUGUCAUCAUUUUUGACACUCUACUCUAACAUGCAUCAACAAAGUAGAUUCAAAUACGCCCUGCUCCCUACUAAUUUACAGUUCGGUUCAACUGAAUUUUCUCAUCUCUCUAUCAUUCUAAUGUGGAAUUUGCUUACACAUGUAUGCAUUAAUUGAUCUCUCUGGAUAUGGGUUCUUUGCAUGGAGUGUGCAUUAGUAAUGAUGAACAAGUCAUCAUAUAUUAUUCGUAUUUUCUGCAUGGUGUAUUGGAAGCUGUUCGUAUAAGCUUGGCAGGAUAUGCCACGAGCAUUACAUAUCAUGUAUUUGCUGACCGAUUCGGGAUAAUUUGCUUAGAUAUCAGGAUAAUUUCCUAUUUUGAUCUAUUUUUACUCAUGCAAUAUGCUUUUUCGUAACACAUCAAAUUAAGUGUCAGAAUGUUGAACAGUAACCACUUGCUUUUUAGUCUUUUGAUUGUCAUGUAUUUUGGUAUUGCUCUAUUCUCGAUUUCUCUAAUGCUUGGCUGGUAUAAAAUACGUUGUUUCUUUGACUAUUCGUUAUGAGUGUUUAAUGUUGUAGGACAGGUCUCUGUUACUGAUAUAUAACUCUAUGCUGUUAGCAAUUCAUUGAAUAGCAUCUCUUGAGCUAAUAAUUUUAAAAAUUUGUUGUUUUUUGUGUUUUCAUCUUUCUCUUGAUAUUUUGACAUUUCAUUUGCGUUUUUUGUUUAAAAUAUUUUGAUAUUUCAUUGAUACUAACCAUGCGUCAAUUAAUGCAGAUAAAAAUAUGACUUUUUUUCAUCUAUCUUUCUUUUUUCAAUUUUGUUUUAUUCAACGAUCUGAGGAAGCCAUUAAUUGUUUUUUGCUAUUGUUCUAGUCUUCUAGAUAUCUUUGCAACUAUGCCAUGCUGUCAGCCUAAAAAAUUUAUUAAAUGUGAUGGUUAUUGAUAGUUACACACAUCCAUUUUUCAUAUAAUUUAAUAAAAUGCUUGCUUCUCUUUCAUUUUUUUNGCUUCAAUUGGAUAAUUUAUAUAUGUACCAUCUUCUUAGGCUGUUUAUAGCUGGAUGCUACAUGUACUUGUUGCAGAGAGAUUUUAUCAUAGAAUGUCGAAAGCGAGCGUGUAGCUGCUUUGUUUAUUAUCUCUUUAGUGUUAGCAUAGUAUGUUUGAAUUAAGUAUAAGUUUCGGCUGCUAGUUCUUGUAUUGGGCUUAGCAAGCCCACUUAUAGUUAAGCUUCUCUUGGAAGCUACUAUUGACUUCCCCUAGAAGUCAAGCUCGGAAAUAAAAGAAGUCUCUCUCCUUCAGAGGGGGACUUGUCUAGGAUCUUUUGGUUGGAAAAUCAGUGGCUAAUUGCCAUUUGGGUAGAGAGAGAGUUCCUCCUCUGUUGUAGUUUGUCUUUUGAUUAUAUAAUUCCUCUUAGUUCGGUAUUUGUGUUUGUGUUCUCAUUACUUCUAUCAAUUUGGUCCGACCCGCCGGAUGCCAAAGACUCGAAGUAUAACUCGUGGGGAGACAGACGUCAAAGACGGGGAGAUAGAUGAAGAGAACGGUGAUAUUAGGGCUGAAUGGGAACAAUUGCUCCCUAAAAUCGAGAUGAUUGAAGAAAGGAAGAUAUGGCAAAACUUGGACAGAUGAUGACCCGACUACUGUGGGAAAAAGAGCUAGAUGUUGUGGAAGAGCGGACGAGCUGUACUGAGAAUCGACAGCGCGCAGACGUGACUAUGUUUGUCGAGCAUGGGGCAGGCAGCAGAUCUACGAAUUAUGGGGUCGACCCACACAAAGGUCUGAACCCGAAUGUGUCUGUAGCUCCGAACGGGGCAUCGUCGAGUAGGGGUAUGAAUAAAAUGGCUUGGAGUGGAGAGCCACAGGCUGCCUCAAUGGUGAAUCUCACGCACGAACGUCAACCUCAAUCAAAUCCUGCACAAGAGUUUGGAGAGCAACGUCAAGACUGGGGUAUUAUAAAUCCGGGCAUCAACCGGCCCAACGGGCGACUGAACGGAGCUAUUCCACCUCCACCAGGUUUAGAAAACUAUGUGUUUGGUUCGAAUGGGACCACACCAGGAUUUAAUUUUUCGGGGAUAAUGCCUCAAAGAAUCCCAACUUCUCAUGAGACGUUCAUGGCACCAACCCGCAUCAAUCUACCCAUGUUUGAUGGGAGCAAUCCUGAAGGUUGGAUAGCUAGAGCUGAGCAAUAUUUUACUCUCCAUGGCACUGCUGAAGUGAGUAAAGUGGAAGUGGCGCUUAUUGCAAUGGAAGGGGAUGCCCUUCACUGGUAUCAUCAGCUCACAUGAUCCCGAUUGCCAUAUUUAACAUGGAGCCAAUUAAAGACUGUAUGGCUAAUGCAUUUGAAUCCCUGAUGUACACCUCUCAAACAGGAACAGUAAGUGAAUAUGUCAGCUCUUUUAUUUCAUAUCUAGUGCAUGUUACUGGCCUCGCUGAAAACUAUUGUCUUGGAAUGUUUUUACAUGGGUUACGUGAUGAAAUACGUUUGCGUAUACGCUCACGACUUCCAAAGAUUUAUUUGAAACCAUAUAUAUAGCUAAAGAAGUGGAGAGAGAGAUUGGUGCUCUUCGAGGAUAUGAACACACUAAGAUUUCAACUCUUGUCAGAAAUAAUGCGAUGGGAGGUGGUAAUUGGAGUUGGUACUCGUCAUCAAAUCUGCAAAAUAAUCAGAACAUUCAAAGAAAUAGUUCGGGAACGGUAAGCGGUAGCUUGGGGAUGGGGAAUCGAAAUCAACCUACUUCCCAAAGUUAUAGCUCCGUCGGGUCUAGUUACAAUCAGCCACGUAGCAGAUCGAUUGGCCACAAACGAUGAAGAUAAGAGGAACUGUUUCAAAUCAAGAGUUGCUUGUUAUGGUGGAUAGUGGAGCAAGCAACUGCUUCAUAUCCCGCAACAUGGCCACCAAGCUUGCGCUUUCAAUUGACACUAGUCAAAGCUGUGCAGUGCGUCUUGGUGAUGGUCGUAAGGCCGCUAUCAUUGGGGUGUGCCGAGAGUUGUCACUCGAAUUAGGAGGUGAAAAGUUCGACCCGGAAUGUUGUCUUUGACUUGGGAAAUGUUGACUUGAUCUUUGGCAUCUCAUGGCUAGCUACCCUUGGAGAAGUACAGGCUGAUUGGAGUAAGAUGACAAUGCGGUUCCACCGUAACGGCAAAAUUCUUACUCUUCGCGGCGAGUUGGGCCUCGUUUUCGUGCCUUGUCAUUAGCCCGAAUUUGUAAAGUGCGACAAAUAGAGGCAAGUUGGCUAGUAUGGAUUAGAAAUACACCGCACGAAAUUAAGUUUUCUAAGCUCGAAUCAUCAAUUAAUGGCAAAGAUGCCGAUGACUAUCUACGACAAAAAAUGGAGAAGGAAUUCCCUCAGGUUAUGCAGCCACCGGUGGGACUUCCCCCUUACAGGAGCAUUGAUUAUCAUAUUCCUUUUAAGUAGGGAGCUCCUCCAGUUUCAGUAUGACUUUAUUGAUACAGUCAUGCUGCCAAAGAUGAAAUGGAGAGAUUGGUGCAAGAGAUGAUAGAGGCUGGAAUUAUACAGCCCAGUUCGAGUCCUUACUCAAGCCCAGUGCUAUUGGUUCGAAAAAAAGAUGGAAGUUAGCAUUUUGUGUUGACUAUAGAGAGUUUAACAAGCAAACUAUGCCAGACAAGUACCCAAUUCCAGUUAUUCAGGAGAUGCUAGACGAAUUACAUGGUGUUUGAUGGUUUUCGAAGCUUGAUCUACCAUCUGGAUACCACCAGAUUUGAGUUGCUUCAGAAGAUAUUGCUAAGACUGCGUUCAGGACUCUUUCUGGUCAUUAUCUCCCUAAGUUUGUCCUAGUUUUCUUUGAUGAUAUUCUUAUGUACAACGGUGAUUAACAGGACCAUGUGCAACACUUAUGCACAAUUAUGUCCCUAUAGCGUGAGCACGCGUAUGUGGAUAAUCCAAAGAAGUGUGCUUGGGGCCAAAUUGUGGUGGAAUAUUUGGGUCAUAUUUUGUCAUUUGAAGGGGUUCAGAUGGAUCAAGGGAAGGUUUCAGCAAUCUUUUGAUGGCCUGUGCCCCCCUCAUCAGUGAAGAGUGUUCGUGGAUUCUUGGGGCUAACCGGCCACUACUGCCGAUUCAUUCAAAAUUACGGUUAAAUUGCUCGUCCUCUAACUGGUUGCUUCAAAAGGAUAGAGUAACCAAUUUCAGUUGGACACCCACAGCCCAAUCACAAUCAGCUUUCAGAAAGCUGUGACCACAGCCCCGGUAUUAGCUACUCCUGAUUUUUUCAAACCUUUUGUCAUAGAGUGUGAUGCAUCGGGACUAAUGGCACUUGUCCUAGCAGGUCAACAUUGGCGGCCUUAUUUAGUGGGCCUUAUUUAGUGGGACAGAGAUUUAUCGUGCGAACAUAUCAAUGUAGUUUUUGUUUUUUAUUGGGACAACCAGUUUCAACACCAACACAACAAUUUUGGGUGGCUAAAUUAUUGGGUUUUGAUUUUCAAAUCGAUAUAAGGCAGGGGUGGCUAACCGUGUUGCUGGUGCCUUGUCUCGAAGUUAUGAAGAGAUAAAGUGUGCAACUGUAUCGAUACCUCCGUGGAUGGGGUGGACGGUGAUUUGUGAAGAGACUCGAAAGGAUGAGAAGUUGGCAGUUAUUCGGUCAAAAUUGGUCGUGGGAUUAUCAGACUAUCCAGCGUACUCCAUUAUUAAUGAUGUCUUGUAUUUUCAGGGUCGCUUGGUGCUAGACAAGAAUUCAGUAUUCAUUCCUCGCUUGUUGGCUGAGUUCCAUGCUUCACCGCAAGGGGGACAUAUCGGCGACUCGCUUCAAAUGUAUAUUGGGUUGGCAUGAUGAAGAAUGUGACAAACUUUCUGGCUGAGUGCUUAAUCUAUCAAAAGCAAAAGUAUGAAGCACAUGCUCCAGGAGGCUUACUACAACCUUUGCCCAUUCCAACACGAAUUUGGGAGGAUGUCAGUAUGGAUUUCAUUGAGGGAUUGCCACGAUCGGGACCCUAUGAUUGUAUUUUGGUGGCGGUGGAUCGUUUAUGCAAAUAUGCACAUUUCUUGGGUUUGCGACACCCAUUUACUGUGCGCGAUGUAGUAUCUGUUUUUGUGAGGGAGAUUGUUCGGCUCCAUGGAGUUCCAUUAUCUAUUGUGUCGGACCGGGAUAAAGUUUUCUUGAGUGGAUUUUGGCCUGAAUCAUUUAAGGCUAUGAGAACUAAAUUGAGCAUGAGUUCAGCUUACCAUCCGGAGACAGAUGGGCAAACAGAGCUAGUAAACCGUGGCGUUGAAAUUUAUUUGAGUAUUGUUAUAAUACUAGUUUUCAUUCAUCAGCGGGCAAUGUUUUAAAAAACGAAAAAAAACGCCACUUAUAUGCCGUUUCAAGCGGGGCGGCAGGAUACCGUUCCUCAUGCGCCGUUUACCCCCUCCCUCCUGAACGUACGCCUCCACCUCGCCGAGGCGGUGUGAGGCGCUGCAAGGCGCUGCGUCAAACCCUAGUUAGGUUUUCUGAUUUUCUGAACUUAAUUGGACUGGGCUUCAGGGCAUUAGGUGCAAAAAUAGAUGGGCUUAGUUAAAUUGAACCCUAAUUUAAAUGGGCUUUUAUAAUUUAAGUGUAAUUAACAUAUUAAAAUUAAAGUAAAAGGUCAGAAGGUUUUAAAAAUUGAAAAACCCAGCGGCAACUAGCGUCAACUCUCUGCGCUCCUCUCCUUUUCAUGUAUGCGACUUUAAUUUGAGAUUUUAAACACUUAAUAGCAGCUAUGAACUUAUGUAUUUUGAAUUAUUUGCUAUGUUUUUAUGUAUUUUGGAAUAUUUGCUAUGUCUUUAUGUGUUUUAUAACAUUAGGUAUAAUUUAUGUGUUUUGUUACGAAUUCCGUUUUUUUAUUCCGCCUCACUCCGUUUCAAAACUUACGCCUUGUGAGGCGGAAGAAAAAUGUUUCACCUUACAAAACGUACUUUAAAUAUUGUCUGCGACUCAGCGGAUUCGACACCUUUUGAAGUUGUAUAUGGGCGCCCUCCGCCUAAGCUUGGGUGUUUCUUACCAUCUGAGAUAAGAGUCAGGGCAGUGGUUGAUGAGUUAACAACCAGGGAUGAUGUUCUUCGUCAUCUCAAGGAACAUCUUGAGCGUGCUCAACAACGUACGAUUCAUGCUGCCAAUAAGUGUCGCAGAGAUGUGCAGUUUGCAGUGGGCCAAAAAGUCUUUCUCAAGCUCGACCACAUCGACAAUCCUCUUUAUUUGGUCAGGGAGUGUAAAGUUAGCUGCAAAAUUUUAUGGACCUUUUGAAAUUCUGAAAAGGAUUGGUCCUGUUGCUUAUCGGCUACUACUUCCAGCUUCUUCGUGGUUACAUCCUUUUUUCACGUCUCGCAACUUAAGACGAUGGUGGGCAAUCAUUCAGUAGAAACCGAGUUGCCCAAAUAAUUGAGGCAGUCUGAUCCCGAAUUUGUUCCUGAAUGGAUUUUGCAUGACCGUUGGAUUUGGCAAGGAGAUGAGCGUGUCCAUCAAUUAUUGGUGCAAUGGAAGGAUAAGAGAUCGACGAGGCAACUUGGGUGGGAGAGGAUGAGUUCAGUGGGCAAUUUCCAGAAUUCAGCAUUGAGGACAAGGCUGUUUGGAAGGAGGGAGGAGUUGUUGCAGAGAGAUUUUAUCGUAAAAGGUCGAAAGCGAGCGUGUAGCUGCUUUGUUUAUUAUCUUUUUAGUGUUAGCUUAGUAUGUUUUGAUUAAGUAUAAGUUUGGGCUGCUAGUUCCUGCAUGGGCUUAGCAAGCCCACUUUAUAGUUAAGCUUCUCUUGGAAGCUACUAUUGACUUCCCCUAGAAGUCAAGCUAGGAAAUAAAAGAAGUCUCUCCUUUGGAGGAGGACUUGUCUAGGAUCUUUUGGCUGGAAAAUCAGUGGCUAAUUGUCAUUUGAGCAUAGAGAGUUCCUCCUCUGUUGUAGUUUGUCUUUUGAUUAUCUAUAUAAUUCUUCUUAGCUCGGUUGUGUUUGUGUUCUCUUUACUUCUAUCAGAACUAUUACGGGGCCUGAUAUCAAGGAGCAAUUAUGAGUCUAUUAUUGAGGAACAAGGCAACUAGGCUGCACGCUGCAUGCUGCAAAUGUCAAAGAUAGAGGCAAUAAGAAAAGCCAAGAAGAUGCAGGUUUUAUCAUUCGGAAACUAAAGAAGGAGAUAUCAGCCCUUAGUAUUAGAAACUGCUAUCUUCUAUCUUCAGUUUCAUGAGUUGAUACAUAUAUGAGGUGCAUCCAUUUUCUUGUAUUCAAAUCAGUACUAUCAGUUGAUAUCUUGGAAUCUGGAUUCGUAAGUUCUUCCCAUGGUGUUACUGAGGAUAAAGGACAAGAAUUCAGAUAACUCUGGAGGCAAUGCUGCUAAUAAAUGUGACAUUGUAGAUGAAACAGAGUUUAGGGUUCACUUGAUCAAAUAGGACUUGAUAGCUUUAACUUACAUGAACAGUCAUCUGGUACGCUUCUGUAAGCAUCUAUAUGCAAAGCGGAGAUGCUUUGGAUGAGAAAUCAGACGACGCAGAACUUGGUGAUUUCUUUUUGGAAGGCAGUUCAUUGGAUCAAGUCUUACCUCAUGAGAUAUUGGAAGAACAAAAGAGAGAAACUGUGAGAACUUUGUAGCGAAAAAAUUUAGAGAAAAUGGAAGCGAUUUGGGAGAAGGUAAUAAUAAAUUGUGCUCCUAUUUAGUCCCACCCUUUUGUUUCAACCUAUUUGUAGCUAUUUAUCUCCCUUCAAAUUGACUAACUGUUGCUUCAAUAUGUCGUAUGGCUUAAUUCAAGUUGUAUUACCAUAGGGAGAUCCAAAAAGGAUUCCAAAGGCUGUCCUUCACCAACUUUGCCAAAGAUCAGGGUGGAUGCACCAAAAUAUGAUAAAAGUUCUUGGUACAGGGAGCAGUUCUGGUUACUCUAUCAGUGUGCUGCAGACAGCUAGAGGGAGGGGUAAAAGUAGAAUAGCUGGAGGGUUGACGACAGUUCAGCUUCCACAUCUGGAUGAAAUUCUGAAUACACCAGAGGUACACACUUAUCUGCUAUUGUGAAUUGUGAUUAGUUGAAGAGUUAAUGCUAAACAACCACACUCAAGAACUAAUACCUUCCAGCAGUUUACUGUAUAAGAUAACAUAUGACUCUUUGCUUAUCAAAUUCAUAUUGAAUAUAGUACUUUCAACAUCAUCUUUGUGGGGAAACAAAUGCAUACUUACAAGAAUUGCUAGAGAAAUAAUUAGAGAUUUUCCUUGAUCUCUGAUAGACCGUGGCACUUCUGUUUUCUUUUCUUUUUCUUUUUAAUUGAAUCAGUUAUUUAUUCUUAGUUUUUCUUUUCAAGUAGUUUGGGCUAAAGGCCUGUAAUGUGUGCAUGGGCUUUUAGGGUUAGGGUUUCCUUUUUCCCUAUUUAAUAGGCAUAUCAUAGUUGGAGUUGUUUAUGUGGAAUAAUAGUAUUGUUCAGGGACAGUUAUUGUUGUAGGCCUCGGUGAGGAGUUUUCCGAUAUUUUCUUUUGUUUAUAAUAUUUUCGUUCAGUUCUCGUUCCCUCCACCUUUACUCUAUCAAUCUCUUAAUAGAGAAAAUAAAUUUCAAUUAGUUAUUUGUUCUUUAGAAGGAUUAGGAUUUUGAUCUUAUCCUUAAGACUGGAUCUUGGUGAUAAUAUAAGAGCAAUAUAAUGCAAGUGUUGGAUUAAAAAAUUGUUUUUAUAGCAACCUAAGUUGAAGUUUUUAGAUUCAGUAAGUGAUAAACCUCUAAGUUGACUAGUUUGAAGCUGAACCUGGUCAUAUUAGAAUAUAUCGUGCAAUUGCAAAGUUAGCUUGAAUAUAUCAUAGACGUUCACAACAUUAAGAACUUGAUUAGGUGCCUAGCUUCUUCCAUUACAAAGUUUGUUUCUGGGUUAUCUUUGGUUUGAGAAUGAAGAGGAUUUUUACUUUCGGGAUUGGGAAUGUUGGGUUUGGGAAUCACUUUAAAAUAGUAAGGAUAUAUGUUUGUUUAUGGCAGUAUGAUUUUCAUUGUGACCAAAUAUACACAUUUAACCAAAUAAUAUCAUUUGUUGUGAAGAAUGUCAAGAAUAAAUCGGUAUGAGUAUAGUUUCAUAUCGAUAAAUACAAAACAUUUUCAAUUAUGCCCCGCGUCCAAUUGCUAAGGAUGAGUUUUUCACGCCUAAUGUUAAACACAAUAUGCACACUGUAUACCUUACCAAAAUCGUCAUAUCUUAGGGUUUAAUGUUUAGGGUUUCCUAGUGAAUUAGACUUUGCUCCGACAGACGUGGGAGGGAAGUGCGGGCAGGGUCGGGUCGGGCAUGAAAUAUAAUAAAAAGUUUACGAAUCAAUUGAUUUAAUCAGAAUAUUAUGUGUAUUUAAUUAAAAUUAUUGAGUAUUAUAUACUAAUCAGCUGAUUAGUUAAAAUGUUAAAUACAAAAUUAAACGAAUUCGUCCUUCUAUUAAUAGAAAUUUAGAACGUAGUGCAUCAAUUAUUUUUCCAAAUGCAACGUUAGGCAUGGUAACAUUUUAUAACAAAAUAAAGAAGUUAAUCAAUAAUACUUCCUCAUUCCAUGAAAACUAUGGCAUUUUGGUUGGGAACAAGUUUUAAUGCAAUAUUUUGUGAAUGCUAUGUAGUGGAGAAAUGGUCCCACCAUUAUAUGAAUUGAGUGGUUGACGUUGAAUAAGUAUGGACUAUGGGUCAUGUGUGAAUUUUACGUAAAUAAGAGGUAUUUGUAUGGGUAAAAGAUAAGAAUAAAUGUGUGGCGAUGUCCUAGAAAAGAAAGUUUCAUACUUUCGGUUUACACAAAAAAUGCCAUAGUUUUGGUGGACGGAAAACUUCGUACAAAAUUAAUUAUAGAAAUAUACAUCUAAAUAAAAAGGUUGGAAGUUAUAAUCAAAUAUAUUUAUAUAAACAAUAUUACAAUGAAUGGUCUUGUUCACUAAUGUGUUGGCUCAUGUAGUAGUUCCCACCAAGUCCGACCGGGCCUGUUCAUGAGGCGAGCAGGAAUCAUUUUCUAUAAAUGCCAUGUUAGUUAACUUGGUAAGUAAUUUCAGUGCUCGAUUGGUGCCCAACUCUUUAAUAAUUUAACCCUACAGUAUGUUGUCUCAAAAGUUUAUAUGCGGACAUUCAUGGAAUCUAGAUAAGCAUAAUUAUUCUCCUAAUAGGUAUAAUCAUGCUAAUAGAAAUUACCCUAUUGUGAACAGGUCAAGUCCAACUCGCACCCAUCUCACAACUCGUGUAUCUUGUAGGCUUGCUUAAUGGUUGAGUGAAGUAACUUAAGGCCUAGAAAUUGAUAUGGAUGAUUAACUUAAUUAAUGAUUGACUACUAUAUUGAACUUGUUUUGUUUGAAUAUGUCUAGAGUAACAACAGCAACUGGAGUUAUUCAAAAAAAAAGCAACUAGAGGAAGAUCAUGUAUGGUACAUGGAUUAACAGAACCGAUUAAGCUAGGAAAUGGAAAAAUAUGGAUUCCAUUAAGGUGGUUGAUGGCUAAAGCAAUUAUGUGCACUAAAUUGUUACAUGCAUGUCAAUUACCUUUCUAUAAGUGUCUACUAUGCUGCAUAUUAAGUACUUGAACAAUUGCAUGUCGCGAUUUAUAUUUUGAAUAAUGCAUGGUAAGAAAUUUGAGUUGCAUAUCACUAUUAGGGUUUGAGAAACUGUAUUUCAACUUUAACAAUCAACCCACAAUUAGGUAGACCUAGAAUGAGGGUUUAGAAUAAUCUAUGGUUACAGUAUCAUGGGUGUGUCAGUAUACUAUAAAAAUCUCAUAUUGUUCCUUUCACAAAUAUGCAGUAUAAGUUAAAAAUUCUAUUUAAUAUCUUGGAUCAUAUUUAUCCUAUUCGUUUACUUUUCAAAAUCUACUUAUGAAUUAUAAUUAUUUAUAUCUCAUAGUUAAUUAGUUAUAUAACAUAAAUGUGACUUAUUUUAGAACUAUAAUUAUUGAUAUAUAAAUAUAACUAUAUACCUCAUACUUGUAUACCUAUAGUAUAUUAUAAUUAACAAUAUUGUUAUUAUAGUCUCAUUAUAACUAACUAUAUUGAUAUCAAUAUACAUGAAAAUAUACAUUAAUAUUAUUUUAUUAAAAUAAAAAAAAUACAUAUGUAGUUAUUGAAUGUUUAAAGUGUAUGUCGAACAUAAGUAUUUUUCACUUUGUAUUAAUAAUAUAGAUUAUAUAAUAUAUAAAUUAAAGCUCAAUUGGCAGCCAUGGAUUCUUGCGCAUGUUAGAAAAUUAUAUCUAGGAAAUAUAUUUAGGAGGAAGGGCUUGAGGGUGGGUCGUACUAGGUUCCACCCAUUUUGAGAAGUUAUAUGUGUUGUUCUUACUCAAAUAUGUGUUUAUGUGUUUAUUUCGAACCAUUGGAUGUUGGAUCCAAAUAUGAACGGUAUGCAUUCUAGAGCAUGUUAUACCAUAUCUAUGUGAACUAUGCAGACUUAAAACGGUUUUCUUUGUGAAAAAAAUGAGUUAUGUGUUGAUUUGAAACCAAGCAUGCAUUCUGCCCCUUUUUGGCUUUCAAGAGUAGUACCUUGUUCGGUAUUUUUCAUGACCUUCAUUUGCAGUAGAAAUUUCUAAAUACUAGGCUAGUAGCAUUUCGUUUUCACAUACUCCAUCAACAUACAGAGUCUUUUUCAUCUGGUACAAAUGUACAUUCAAUGUACAUUCUUAAACAAUGCAUUUCAAGUUGGCUGGUCUAAUGGAAGAGACACUAAUGUUUCCAACCCUUGGAGUAUCCAUCAAUCGCAUACGGCUCCAGAAAUCCUAUAAACUGCAAACAAACCAUCUCAGAUUCGUUGGAUUUUGCCCAACCACCUCAUGACUUAAUGCAUGAAGAAACAAAUUCAAACAGAAAAUAUACCUUAGUUCCAUCUACAGACCAUCAUGCGCCAUAACCAUCAUCGUUCCUGAUCUCGAAGACGCUUCCAUGUGGUCGAACAAUAUGCAUGUUCAUCCAGCUACAAUGAGCCAGUAGACGGCUGAUUGUCUCCACUGUAUGCCUAUUCUUCUCCAUUGUCUCUGCCUGGUUUAUUGAGAGACACGAGCUGAUGAUUCGUAUCCAGCACGACUGUCAGGCAGAAACAGUUUAGAAAACAUAUUAUAAUUAUAAUAAUAAUAAAAAAAACAUCAGUAGAGGAAAAGUGAACAAGUAUUGACUAUAUUCAGUCUGUGUAUUAAAUAAAGACAUGAUAUAAUAAGAAAAUAAACACCAAAAGCAGAGAAAACAAAAUUUAGAAUCUUUACGCAGCAGGCUUUACCUACAGGUGCUCUCCUAUCUUAGCAGCAGUUUGGCCAGCACUAGAUAUACGUGAAUCCAACCUUGCAAAACUAUCAAACAAGCUGCCAACACAUUUUUUCGGCUGCAUGUAAUAUGGCAGUUAGCAGCAUGCUGCAUGCCCUUGUGCCUUCAUAUAAAUUGAAUAAUAAUCUAUCAAACCAAGCCAUCUAACCUCAGAAAGUGUCUUCCGAUGCUUAAAAGUCUUUGAGCAAAAACUUCAGUUUUAUGAUUGUAGAGUUUCUGAUCAAUCAGAGAAACAUCAAUAUUAGGGAGAUCAUUUAAGUGAAUAGCAUAACACUGAAAACUGCAUACAUAAAUUCUUAAACAAAGACCAUAGAAAAUCAACUUCAGCAAAAACGGAUGGCACUCGAGCUGCUUUUGCUGCAUUCAAAUGAUCAUUGGCAAUUGGCCAUAAGCAUCAGUUGCACCACUCCCUUCAUAUGUAUCAAUUUCUUCUUCAGUAGAAGGCAAGUAUCCAAAUAGUGCAUUGAAUCAAAAGUACCUCACACAGUAAUUCGCAUGCCUGGUAAAAUCCCAUCAGAUGUCCAAACAGACAGAGACACCCACUCACUAGUCACUUCGAGAAACACAGAUAGGGAUCAGUUGAUGGAGAUUUGGAAAUUUGGAAAAUCUCCCAGUCUCCGUGUCCCAUUUUUAGUCUCUUUCAACUGAGCCAUAUCUACACAUCAGAAGCCAUGAUAAGGACACCAAUGUCAAUUAGCUUAACCUAAACGAAUGGAAACGAAAAACACUGUGAGGUACAGUUUUUCCAUUUAAACCAUAAAUAACCACAGAUCGCAAGCAAAACGUAAACAAAUUCAGGAAGUCAUCACAAUCAAAUAAAUGGAACAAGCAGAAUCCACAUUCAACACUGAAUCUCAAAUAAGGUUUCAAGUGUGCCAAUAUCUCCCUCGUUACAUGUCUGAAUUGCAUGAUUCUUGGGCCAUUGGUUAUCUUUCAUGAUGGGGAACAUGUGGUGAAAUUCCCUCGCCGAACCGCUUCCGUGCCAAAAUUGAGAUUUUCGGCUCCCCGACCAUUAAUUAGCUAAAAUGGCUUGCGAACCACCUACGUCCAAAAAUCGAGUCGACACGGAUUUCAAUUCUGAUCAUGUCCCACGUAGCCACCCUAAAAAUAUUCCCAACGGUCUUGAACGGACCAAAUCGCAAGGAUAGGUUGGAAACGGAGGGGACGAGCGCGUCCCCGACGGACGUUUUGCCAAUAUCUCCCCGUUACAGUCGAAUUGCAUGAUUCUUGGCCCUUGGUUAUCUUUCAUGAUGGGAAACAUGUGGUGAAAUUCCCUCGCCGAACCGCUUCCGUGCCAAAAUCGAGAUUUGGCUCCCCGACCCACUUAAUAUAGCUAAAAUGGCCUUGGCGAACCACUCGUCCAAAAAUGACGACACGGAUUUCAAUUCUGAUCCUGCUCCCACGUAGCCACCCUAAAAAUAUUCCCAUCGGUCAUUGAACGGACCAAAUCCGACAAGGAUAGGUUGGGAAACGGAGGGGACGUAGCGUCGUCCUCCGACGGACCGUUUUGCCAAUAUCUCCCUCGUUCCACGUCUGAAUUGCAUGAUUCUUGGGCCCUUAGUUAUCUUUCAUGAUGGGGAACAUGUGAAAUUAUUCACCGAACCGCUUCCGUGCCAAAAUCGAGAUUUCGGAUCCCAGAACCACUUAAUAUGGCCUUGACGAAAAUCGUAAAUCCUAAAAUUGACUAUUUUAAAAAUUAAAUUCGACCAGCCGGGAUUGUAGCCCUUGUUAUAAGGUUUCUAACGCAUAAAGAAUCGCGUCAAUCGGACGCAUAACGAAUAAGUUAUGACGAAAAUCGUAAAUUCAAACUAAAAACCUUAGAAACCCUAAAAACCCUCGAAACCCUCAAAACCCUAGAAACCCUAAAAACCCUAGAAACCCUAGAAACCCUAGAAAACCUAGAAACCCUAGAAACCCUAGAAACCCUAAAAACCCUAAAAAACCUAAAAACCCUAGAAACCCUAAAAACCCUAGAAACCCUAGAAACCCUAAAAACCCUAGAAACCCUAAAAACCCUAGAAACCCUAGAAACCCUAAAAACCCUAGAAAACCCUAAUUAAUGGGUCUGGUCAAACCGGGUAUGAACCGGUCUGGUCGAACCGGCGGUCCGGUCUGGUCAAACCGGCGGUCCGGUCUUGUCAACCCGGUCUGGUCGAACCGGCGGUCCGGUCUGGUCGAACCGGCGGUCCGGUCUUGUUAGCCCGGUCUGGUCGAACCGUGUUCGGUCUAGUUGAACCGGCGGUCCGACCAGCCGGUUUAAUUGAACCAGACCGGCUCGUAGGUAGUCCGGGUCAAUCUUAACCAGCCGGUCUAAUUUUACUGAGCCGGACCGGUUUUUAAAGCCGAACCGGUAUUUUUUUUUAAAUUCUCAAAAUAAAAAUAUUUUCUUUUAAAAUCUUAUUUUAAUCAUAACUUCUUCAUUACUCCUCCAAUUGCAACAAUUCUUGCACCCUUGAAAACCUUAUUUAAAAUCCUACAACUUGGUACGGUCAAAAUCAAAUUUACUCCACAUUGAAAAAAAUCUGAAAAACUUAUUUAGACACCACCCGGUCUGCCCCCCAAAAAAUAAGAAACAUAUGCCACCAGGCAGGCAUCUCCGUAAAUAAAAAAUAACAUGGUUUCCUCAAAAAACAAAAACAAAUUACAUUGCAUUUCUUCCUGUACUAAAAAAAACAUGGUAUUUCUUCCCCGGUUAAUUACAUCACUGAAAAACUCUGCAUUGAUGAUGUGAUGGUGCUGGAAAUGAGAUUAUUAGGAUCCCUAUCUUCUGCCUUUUCAUGUUCUUCUGCCUUUUUAUGUUCCUUUUUAAGCAUCUGCAAUCAGUUUCCAAAAUGUUAAAUAUCAAGAGAAAGACGAAAACACAAAAAAUAGUUGUGUUAUAAUAUAUCAGUUACACAGACCUACAACAUUAAACAUGGAGGAAUAGUGAACCAAACAGACUAUUUUAUACAAGCUAAGCAGUAGACAAAUUGAGCAUAGAAACACCAAAAUAAAUGAAAACAAAAAACCAAAAAGCAAAUGGUCACUGUUCAAAAUCCAGACACUUAAUUUGAUGUGUUAGUAUUGGACUAUAUUCACUCUGUAUAUUAAAGACAUGAUAUAAUAAGAAAAUAAACACCAAAUG